GGCUCUCUGGAAUGUUACUGACGCUGAGGCACGAAAGCUGGGGGAGCGUACAGGAUUAGAUACCCUGGUAGUCCCAGCCGUAAACGGUGCGCACUUGGUGUAGGGGCCUUGACCGUCCCUGUGCCGUAGCUAACGCGUUAAGUGCGCCGCCUGGGGAGUACGGCCGCAAGGCUAAUACUCAAAGAAAUUGACGGGGACCCGCACAAGCGGAGGAGCAUGUGGCUUAAUUCGAUGCAACGCGAAGAACCUUACCAGGGCUUGACAUGCAGCUGCACGCCCCGUGAAAGCGGGGAAGCUUUCGAAGGUGCUGCACAGGUGGUGCAUGGCUGUCGUCAGUUCGUGCCGUGAGGUGUUGGGUUAAGUCCCGCAACGAACGCAACCCCUAUGUUUAGUUGCCACCGCAAGUGAUGAGCUUGCGAGCACUCUAGACAGACUGCCCGUACAAGCGGGCCGAAGGUGGGGAUGACGUCAAGUCAGUAUGUCCCUUAUGUCCUGGGCUGCACACGUGCUACAAUGGUCGGUACAAUAGGAAGCAAAGCCGCGAGGCCGAGCAAAUCCCCAAAGCCGGCCAUAGUUCGGAUUGGAGUCUGCAAUUCGACUCCACGAAGCUGGAUUCGCUAGUAACGGCGCAUCAGCCACGGCGCCGUGAAUACGUUCCCGGGUCUUGUACACACCGCCCGUCACAUCAUGAAAGCCGUCUGCACCCGAAGUCGCUGGACCAACCCGCAAGGGGGGAAGGCG
Molecule: ribosomal RNA, 741 nt
Filed under: uncultured organism
Description: bacterial SSU rRNA
Rfam family: Bacterial small subunit ribosomal RNA
Source: RNAcentral